RNAcentral lists this ribosomal RNA (360 nucleotides) under uncultured bacterium. RNAcentral describes it as "bacterial SSU rRNA". It matches the Rfam family "Bacterial small subunit ribosomal RNA", at positions 29 to 416 of the family's 1533-position model. The record is from RNAcentral.
AACGAACGCUGGCGGCAUGCCUAACACAUGCAAGUCGAACGAGACCUUCGGGUCUAGUGGCGCACGGGUGCGUAACGCGUGGGAACCUGCCUUUAGGUUCGGAAUAACUCGGAGAAAUUUGAGCUAAUACCGGAUAAUGUCUUCGGACCAAAGAUUUAUCGCCUUUAGAUGGGCCCGCGUAAGAUUAGCUAGUUGGUGGGGUAAAGGCUCACCAAGGCGACGAUCAGUAGCUGGUCUGAGAGGACGACCAGCCACACUGGGACUGAGACACGGCCCAGACUCCUACGGGAGGCAGCAGUGGGGAAUUUUGGACAAUGGGGGCAACCCUGAUCCAGCAAUGCCGCGUGAGUGAAGAAGGCC